This 429-nucleotide ribosomal RNA is filed under the name Gemmatimonadota bacterium. Its description in RNAcentral is "Gemmatimonadetes bacterium partial 16S ribosomal RNA". It matches the Rfam family "Bacterial small subunit ribosomal RNA", at positions 355 to 776 of the family's 1533-position model. Lineage: Bacteria; Pseudomonadati; Gemmatimonadota. The record is from RNAcentral.
UAGGGAAUCUUCGGCAAUGGACGAAAGUCUGACCGAGCAACGCCGCGUGAGUGAAGAAGGUUUUCGGAUCGUAAAACUCUGUUGUUAGAGAAGAACAAGGACGUUAGUAACUGAACGUCCCCUGACGGUAUCUAACCAGAAAGCCACGGCUAACUACGUGCCAGCAGCCGCGGUGAUACGUAGGUGGCAAGCGUUGUCCGGAUUUAUUGGGCGUAAAGCGAGCGCAGGCGGUUUCUUAAGUCUGAUGUGAAAGCCCCCGGCUCAACCGGGGAGGGUCAUUGGAAACUGGGAGACUUGAGUGCAGAAGAGGAGAGUGGAAUUCCAUGUGUAGCGGUGAAAUGCGUAGAUAUAUGGAGGAACACCAGUGGCGAAGGCGGCUCUCUGGUCUGUAACUGACGCUGAGGCUCGAAAGCGUGGGGAGCAAACAGG